This 480-nucleotide ribosomal RNA is filed under the name uncultured soil bacterium. Its description in RNAcentral is "bacterial SSU rRNA". It matches the Rfam family "Bacterial small subunit ribosomal RNA", at positions 26 to 518 of the family's 1533-position model. The record is from RNAcentral.
AGGACGAACGCUGGCGGCGUGCUUAACACAUGCAAGUCGAGCGGUAAGGCCCUUUCGGGGGUACACGAGCGGCGAACGGGUGAGUAACACGUGAGCAAUCUGCCCUUCACUUCGGGAUAAGCCUCGGAAACGGGGUCUAAUACCGGAUAUGACCGCGCUACGCAUGUGGUGUGGUGGAAAGUUCUGGCGGUGGAGGAUGAGCUCGCGGCCUAUCAGCUUGUUGGUGGGUAAUGGCCUACCAAGGCUUCGACGGGUAGCCGGCCUGAGAGGGUGACCGGCCACACUGGGACUGAGACACGGCCCAGACUCCUACGGGAGGCAGCAGUGGGAAUAUGGACAAUGGGACGAAAGCUGAUCCAGCAACGCCGCGUGGAGGAUGACGGCCUUCGGGUUAGGUAACCUCUUUACUAGCGCCGACGAAGCGAGAGUGACGGUAGGACGCAGAAGAAGACGACGACCAACACGUCGACAGACAGCCGA